Molecule: long non-coding RNA, 636 nt
Filed under: Elaeis guineensis (African oil palm)
Lineage: Eukaryota; Viridiplantae; Streptophyta; Magnoliopsida; Arecales; Arecaceae
Description: long non-coding RNA (EGUI_LNC028738)
Source: RNAcentral
GCCGCUUCUUGAGGUCGGUUAGGGUUUCGGCGGGUUCCAAAAUCCCAUUUUGAACGGGCGGGAAGGUAGAAUUGGAUUCUCCGCCACCACUCCUUAAGGUUGGUCCGAGUCUAGGGUCGCCGUGGUCUCCAAGAUCGCAUCUUUCUGCGAAGGAGCGUCGGAAUCGGGAUCCUCCGCCGGUGGAAUUGGGGUUGAAGCUGGGAUUAUGGUUGUGGGUCGCCGGAGGUAAGGCCGAGGGAGUGAGGAGACGUUAAGGUUGGUCCGAGUCUAGGGUCGCCGUUGUCUCCAAGAUCGCAUCUUUCUGCGAAGGAGCGUCGGAAUCGGGAUCCUCCGCCGGUGGAAUUGUGGGUCGCGGGAGGUAAGGCCGAGGGAGUGAGCAGACGUUAAGGUUGGUCCGAGUCUAGGGUCGCCGUGGUCUCCAAGAUCGCAUCUUUCUGCGAAGGAGCGUCGGAAUCGGGAUCCUCCGCCGGUGGAAUUGGGGUUGUUGUGGUCAAUCCCCUCGUCGCCUCAUCGUCGAGAAUGAGCACCUGCAAAGAAAAGUUCAUAUUGAUCGGAGAUACCUCCGACGGAGACCCUCCGAUGAUCAAAUCAGUGAGAAAACUAGAUAACAGUAGAGAGGAAUCAAGAGACUCAACG